Molecule: non-coding RNA, 94 nt
Organism: Lojkania enalia
Lineage: Eukaryota; Fungi; Ascomycota; Dothideomycetes; Pleosporales
Source: the annotation of a GenBank genome assembly
GGCUCGGUGGUGUAGUUGGUUAUCACGUCAGUCUAACAGGUUUUGAAAGCCUUGAGUGCACUGAAGGUCCCGAGUUCAAACCUCGGCUGAGUCA